UUAUCAAUCUUAUUCAAACCUCUUCAAUUUGAUAUUUUUUUGAAAUUCCUAUUAUAUAAUGUCAUUUCUUAUUUCAUAUACAAUUUUUCGGCACACAUUGAUCUUGAACAAAGCAUGUGGAGCAUAGAGGCUUCACGCUAUUGGCUGCAGCUUUUGACAUUUUCCUCUUGAGCUGUCAAAGUGUUGAAGUGUACAAAGACCUAAAUGUUGAAGCGCACAGAGUUUUGAUUGAGCACAUGCGAAAGCACAAACAUUGCUUCCAGCAGUUUGAACUCAAACAAUAUAGACUGUCGUCUGCCGUUGUCGACGUCCACAUGUGUUUCAAAUAUGAUUCCCAAUGACAAUCCUUUCGGAGAUAAUAUUUUGAUGAUUGAUGAUAUGAUUAACAAAUCAGAGAGGAUUUCUACUUGGUGGCACACCGCUUUAACCGGUGAGGGACAACGAUUUGAAAGUACGAAAGAAUUGAGAUUGGCUUUGCUAUACUAUUCCAUGGCAAAAAAAAUCAAGUGCUUGUUUGGAAAGAAUGAACCGAAGCAU
Asparagus officinalis (garden asparagus) is the source of this 537-nucleotide long non-coding RNA. RefSeq lists it as uncharacterized. Lineage: Eukaryota; Viridiplantae; Streptophyta; Magnoliopsida; Asparagales; Asparagaceae. The record is from RefSeq and is a predicted model, not a curated record. The transcript is spliced from 3 exons.